This 384-nucleotide ribosomal RNA is filed under the name uncultured archaeon. Its description in RNAcentral is "bacterial SSU rRNA". It matches the Rfam family "Archaeal small subunit ribosomal RNA", at positions 18 to 407 of the family's 1478-position model. The record is from RNAcentral.
CGGAGGUUACUGCUAUUGGAAUCCGAUUAAGCCAUGCGAGUCGAUCGGGUCAGACCCGAGGCGCACUGCUCAGUAACACGUGGAGAAUCUGCCCUUAGGUGAGGAAUAACCUCGGGAAACUGAGAAUAAUACCUCAUAGGUUAUGGAUGCUGGAAUGCUUCAUAGCCCAAAGCCCCGGCGCCUAAGGAUGACUCUGCGGACUAUCAGGUAGUAGUCAGGGUAACGACCUGACUAGCCUACGACGGAUACGGGGUGUGAGAGCACUAGCCCGGAGAUGGAUUCUGAGACACGAAUCCAGGCCCUACGGGGUGCAGCAGGCGCGAAACUUCCGCAAUGCUCGCCAGAGUGACGGAGGGAUUCCAAGUGCCUAUGCUAUGCGUAGGC